This 357-nucleotide unclassified non-coding RNA is filed under the name soil metagenome. RNAcentral describes it as "partial contains 5.8S ribosomal RNA, internal transcribed spacer 2, and large subunit ribosomal RNA". The stretch from base 1 to 120 matches the Rfam family "5.8S ribosomal RNA", at positions 35 to 154 of the family's 154-position model. The record is from RNAcentral.
GAUGAAGAACGCAGCGAAAUGCGAUAAGUAAUGUGAAUUGCAGAAUUCAGUGAAUCAUCGAAUCUUUGAACGCACAUUGCGCCCGCUGGUAUUCCGGCGGGCAUGCCUGUUCGAGCGUCAUUUCAACCCUCAAGCUCUCCGGAGUUUGGUGUUGGGGCGCCUGGGGCUUUUCGACCUCAGGGCCCUCAAGUCCAUCGGCGGGACCGCCAGGACACUGAGCGCAGUAGUAUUAUUUCGCUCGGUAGGAUCUUCCACGGCGGGUCGAUCUGGCCGCUAAACCCCCCAAUUCUCUCCAAAGGUUGACCUCGGAUCAGGUAGGAAUACCCGCUGAACUUAAGCAUAUCAAUAAGCGGAGGA